AGCAAUUAUACAGCGAAACUGCGAAUGGCUCAUUAUAUAAGUUAUCGUUUAUUUGAUAGUACCUUACUACUUGGAUAACCGUGGUAAUUCUAGAGCUAAUACAUGCUAAAAAUCCCGACUUCGGAAGGGAUGUAUUUAUUAGAUUAAAAACCAAUGCCCUCUGGGCUCUUUGGUGAUUCAUGAUAACUUCUCGAAUCGCACGGCCUUGCGCCGGCGAUGGUUCAUUCAAAUUUCUUCCCUAUCAACUUUCGAUGUUUGGGUAUUGGCCAAACAUGGUUGCAACGGGUAACGGAGGGUUAGGGCUCGACCCCGGAGAAGGAGCCUGAGAAACGGCUACUACAUCCAAGGAAGGCAGCAGGCGCGCAAAUUACCCAAUCCCGACACGGGGAGGUAGUGACAAUAAAUACUGAUACAGGGCUCUUUUGGGUCUUGUAAUUGGAAUGAGUACAAUUUAAAUCCCUUAACGAGGAACAAUUGGAGGGCAAGUCUGGUGCCAGCAGCCGCGGUAAUUCCAGCUCCAAUAGCGUAUAUUAAAGUUGUUGUGGUUAAAAAGCUCGUAGUUGAACCUUGGGCCUGGCUGGCCGGUCCGCCUCACCGCGUGUACUGGUCCGGCCGGGCCUUUCCCUCUGUGGAACCUCAUGCCCUUCACUGGGUGUGACGGGGAAACAGGACUUUUACUUUGAAAAAAUUAGAGUGCUCCAGGCAGGCCUAUGCUCGAAUACAUUAGCAUGGAAUAAUAAAAUAGGACGUGUGGUUCUAUUUUGUUGGUUUCUAGGACCGCCGUAAUGAUUAAUAGGGACAGUCGGGGGCAUCAGUAUUCAAUUGUCAGAGGUGAAAUUCUUGGAUUUAUUGAAGACUAACUACUGCGAAAGCAUUUGCCAAGGAUGUUUUCAUUAAUCAGGAACGAAAGUUAGGGGAUCGAAGACGAUCAGAUACCGUCGUAGUCUUAACCAUAAACUAUGCCGACUAGGGAUCGGACGAUGUUAUUUUUUGACGCGUUCGGCACCUUACGAGAAAUCAAAGUGCUUGGGCUCC
Molecule: ribosomal RNA, 1035 nt
Filed under: Parengyodontium album
Lineage: Eukaryota; Fungi; Ascomycota; Sordariomycetes; Hypocreales; Cordycipitaceae
Description: SSU rRNA
Rfam family: Eukaryotic small subunit ribosomal RNA
Source: RNAcentral